Molecule: non-coding RNA, 81 nt
Organism: Bos taurus (domestic cattle)
Lineage: Eukaryota; Metazoa; Chordata; Mammalia; Artiodactyla; Bovidae
Source: Rfam
ACCCGCUGAAUUUAAGCAUAUUAGUCAGCGGAGGAAAAGAAACUAACCAGGAUUCCCUCAGUAACGGCGAGUGAACAGGGA